Molecule: non-coding RNA, 28 nt
Filed under: Mus musculus (house mouse)
Lineage: Eukaryota; Metazoa; Chordata; Mammalia; Rodentia; Muridae
Source: RNAcentral
UGAUGGGUGGCCAGUAUGAUGCUAAUAC